CCACUCGAUGAUGAUGAUCUUGCCCUAAACAUUCUUGCUGGUCUUCCUUUAGAUUACAGUCCUUUUAAAGCAUCAAUGUCUUCAGGAAUGGAACCGUUAUCCUUUAUUGAUCUUCUUGAGAGUUUACUUACUGAAGA
This 137-nucleotide small nucleolar RNA is filed under the name Macleaya cordata. Its description in RNAcentral is "Small nucleolar RNA Z247". It matches the Rfam family "Small nucleolar RNA Z247". From Rfam's summary of the family: Z247 is a member of the C/D class of snoRNA which contain the C (UGAUGA) and D (CUGA) box motifs. The record is from Rfam by way of RNAcentral. Lineage: Eukaryota; Viridiplantae; Streptophyta; Magnoliopsida; Ranunculales; Papaveraceae.